UCAUGGCUCAGGAUGAACGCUAGCGGCAGGCUUAACACAUGCAAGUCGAGGGUAGAGAAGCUUGCUUCCUUGAGACCGGCGCACGGGGUGCGUAACGCGUAUGCAAUCUACUUAUACAGGGGGAUAGCCCAGAGAAAUUUGGAUUAAUACCCCAUAGUAUAAUUGAAUGGCAUCAUUUAAUUAUUAAAGUUCCAACGGUAUAAGAUGAGCAUGCGUCCCAUUAGCUAGUUGGUGUGGUAACGGCACACCAAGGCGACGAUGGUAGGGGUCCUGAGAGGGAGAUCCCCCACACUGGUACUGAGACACGGACCAGACUCCUACGGGAGGCAGCAGUGAGGAAUAUUGGUCAAUGGGCGCAAGCCUGAACCAGCCAUGCCGCGUGCAGGAUGACGGUCCUAUGGAUUGUAAACUGCUUUUGUACAGGAAGAAACACUCCCUCGUGAGGGAGCUUGACGGUACUGUAAGAAUAAGGAUCGGCUAACUCCGUG
Molecule: ribosomal RNA, 488 nt
Filed under: uncultured bacterium
Lineage: Bacteria
Description: bacterial SSU rRNA
Rfam family: Bacterial small subunit ribosomal RNA
Source: RNAcentral